GAUAAACGCUGGCGGCGCACAUAAGACAUGCAAGUCGAACGGACCAAAACCUUAGUUUACUUUGGUAGAGGUUAGUGGCGGACUGGUGAGUAACACGUAAGCAACCUGCCUAUCAGAGGGGAACAACAGUUAGAAAUGACUGCUAAUACCGCAUAUGCCAUAAUCACCACAUGGUGAUAGUGGGAAAGGAGCAAUCCGCUGAUAGAUGGGCUUGCGUCUGAUUAGAUAGUUGGUGGGGUAACGGCCUACCAAGUCGACGAUCAGUAGCCGGACUGAGAGGUUGAACGGCCACAUUGGGACUGAGACACGGCCCAGACUCCUACGGGAGGCAGCA
This 334-nucleotide ribosomal RNA is filed under the name uncultured bacterium. RNAcentral's name for it is "bacterial SSU rRNA". It matches the Rfam family "Bacterial small subunit ribosomal RNA", at positions 28 to 353 of the family's 1533-position model. The record is from RNAcentral.